AAGACUGUGCUUCAUAGGAUCAUUUCUAUAGGCAAGUUUUCAGCUUUACUUUCUCCGAAAGUAGAGUUUUUCCAACCCACGAUGAUGAGAUGUAGUGGCUGCCCUGGAGCGUGAAACUGUCAGAUCUCGGUUGCGUCUCUGACGUGCCGAUCUGUACUUGAUGAUCGUAUCCUUUAAUAAAAGGGUAGACACAGUCUGAGUGGU
RNAcentral lists this small nucleolar RNA (204 nucleotides) under Anopheles epiroticus. Its description in RNAcentral is "small nucleolar RNA U3". It matches the Rfam family "Small nucleolar RNA U3". Rfam says of the family: Small nucleolar RNAs (snoRNAs) are involved in the processing and modification of rRNA in the nucleolus. There are two main classes of snoRNAs: the box C/D class, and the box H/ACA class. The record is from RNAcentral. Lineage: Eukaryota; Metazoa; Arthropoda; Insecta; Diptera; Culicidae.